RNAcentral lists this ribosomal RNA (465 nucleotides) under Vreelandella stevensii. RNAcentral describes it as "partial 16S ribosomal RNA". It matches the Rfam family "Bacterial small subunit ribosomal RNA", at positions 338 to 795 of the family's 1533-position model. Lineage: Bacteria; Pseudomonadati; Pseudomonadota; Gammaproteobacteria; Oceanospirillales; Halomonadaceae. The record is from RNAcentral.
CCUACGGGAGGCUGCAGUGGGGAAUAUUGGACAAUGGGGGGAACCCUGAUCCAGCCAUGCCGCGUGUGUGAAGAAGGCCCUCGGGUUGUAAAGCACUUUCAGUGAGGAAGAACGCCUGGUGGUUAAUACCCAUCAGGAAAGACAUCACUCACAGAAGAAGCACCGGCUAACUCCGUGCCAGCAGCCGCGGUAAUACGGAGGGUGCGAGCGUUAAUCGGAAUUACUGGGCGUAAAGCGCGCGUAGGUGGCUUGAUAAGCCGGUUGUGAAAGCCCCGGGCUCAACCUGGGAACGGCAUCCGGAACUGUCAAGCUAGAGGGCAGGAGAGGAAGGUAGAAUUCCCGGGGGAGCGGUGAAAUGCGUAGAGAUCGGGAGGAAUACCAGUGGCGAAGGCGGCCUUCUGGACUGACACUGACACUGAGGUGCGAAAGCGUGGGUAGCAAACAGGAUUAGAUACCCUGGUAGUC